Colias croceus (clouded yellow) is the source of this 334-nucleotide long non-coding RNA. RefSeq lists it as uncharacterized. The transcript is spliced from 3 exons. NCBI's taxonomy places the organism in Eukaryota, Metazoa, Arthropoda, Insecta, Lepidoptera, Pieridae. The record is from RefSeq and is a predicted model, not a curated record.
UCCGACUGACUGCAUUCUCGCCCGGUUUACUUGCAAAACAUGAAAAAUCAAACAAUAAAUAUAUUACCAUUAUCCCAUGUGCUUUAAAAUACACGAAAAUUCGCGGUUUUCGCAUUAUAAAGUGAAGGAAACACGGAUAAACGAAUUUCUCCGGCGCCAUAUUGAUGCAAUAUUGCUACAAUAUGGUGUUCGAUGAUAUGAUUGAUUUCUUCACUUCGGGAGAUAAAUAUUGAAGCUGCCAACAUGCAAAUAAAAGAGGUACGUUUUUGACGUGACAACGUCUUAUAAUUCGAUAAAGCCGGCUGCACGCACGAAAAAACAUGACUCAUGCGGC